UACGGAAGGCAGCAGUGGGGAAUAUUGCACAAUGGGCGAAAGCCUGAUGCAGCUAUGCCGCGUGUAUGAAGAAGGCCUUAGGGUUGUAAAGUACUUUCAUCGGGGAGGAAAAAACAAAACUAAUAAUUUUAUUUCUUGACGUUACCCGAAAAAGAAGCACCGGCUAACUCCGUGCCAGCAGCCGCGGUAAUACGGAGGGUGCUAGCGUUAAUCAGAAUUACUGGGCGUAAAGAGCACGUAGGUGGUUUUUUUAAGUCAGAUGUGAAAUCCCUGGGCUUAACCUGGAACUGCAUUUUGAAACUGAAAUACUAGAGUAUCGUAGAGGGAGGUAGAAUUCUAGGUGUAGCGGUGAAAUGCGUAGAUAUCUGGAGGAAUACCUGUGGCGAAAGCGGCCUCCUAAACGAAUACUGACACUGAGUGCGAAAGCGUGGGGAGCAAACGAGGAUUAGAUACC
Molecule: ribosomal RNA, 454 nt
Filed under: uncultured bacterium
Lineage: Bacteria
Description: bacterial SSU rRNA
Rfam family: Bacterial small subunit ribosomal RNA
Source: RNAcentral